RNAcentral lists this long non-coding RNA (862 nucleotides) under Piliocolobus tephrosceles (Ugandan red Colobus). RNAcentral describes it as "lncRNA (ENSPTEG00000007971.1)". Lineage: Eukaryota; Metazoa; Chordata; Mammalia; Primates; Cercopithecidae. The record is from RNAcentral.
CAAAUCCAGUUCAGACCGGGCGCAAUUCAUGUGCUCAGCCGCCGCAUGUGGUGAGUGACAGAGAACAUCCUGCACGUGUGUGCACUUUUUACUGCCUUUUUCUUGACCACAGAUUCUACCUCCUGUUUCUCUGUGUAUGCAGUGAUUAUUUGCUGAGUAUUACACAUUGUAGGUAACAUGUUGAGCACACUCAGGAUCCCUAACCUUCCUCUGAAGCUUUCCAGGUCUUGUUUUAGCAGGUAGCACAGGCACUGCUGGGUCAUCGUGACAUGGGCAGGCUUGGAUUGAUUCGCUGCUGGUGUGGAUCUGUGGAGAACUCCCAUCCUGCACCCACUCCGAUCUCCCCCGAUCUCCCCCUCCUGGACGUGGGUGAUAUGCUCUGCCCACACCUGAGCUCUCUCCAGUCUCCGCCUCCUGGACAUGGUAGGGUGGCCAAGCUCAGCUCACACCUGAGCUCUCUCCGAGCUCCGCCUUCUGGACUCGGUAGAGUGGCCAUGCUCCACCCACACCUGCGCUCUCUCCGAGCUCCGCCUUCUGGACGUGGUAGGAUGGCCAUGCUCCGCCCACACCUGAGCUCUCGGUGCCACGAUCUGCAGGUGUACUCCAGAGGACAAGUGUACUGUGGAAACUAUGAUCCAGGUCAGCAGCCAGUCAUUUCAUAGAAGAUAAACUUCAAGAACAUUCUCUGAAGGGCAGUGAAACUGAGUAAGAUCUAACCACUGUUACCAGCAACCAAGAAAAAUAGGUAAGAAAAUGCAACUAAGAUUUGGAUCAAGUAACUAUGGUAAAAAACAUGCAAACUAUCGCUAAGCACAAAAUAGGCUGGGAGUAAAAACAUAAACAUAAAAAAUAUUUAUGAUAU